GAAUUCCUUACAGCAAUGACUCAUCUGAAACCCUUGGAUUCUG
RNAcentral lists this non-coding RNA (43 nucleotides) under Dictyostelium purpureum. The record is from Rfam by way of RNAcentral. Lineage: Eukaryota; Evosea; Eumycetozoa; Dictyosteliales; Dictyosteliaceae.